Molecule: ribosomal RNA, 428 nt
Filed under: uncultured fungus
Lineage: Eukaryota; Fungi
Description: eukaryotic LSU rRNA
Rfam family: Eukaryotic large subunit ribosomal RNA
Source: RNAcentral
UUGACCUCGGAUCAGGCAGGGAUACCCGCUGAACUUAAGCAUAUCAAUAAGCGGAGGAAAAGAAACCAACAGGGAUUGCCUCAGUAACGGCGAGUGAAGCGGCAACAGCUCAAAUUUGAAAUCUGGCUCUUUUAGGGUCCGAGUUGUAAUUUGUAGAGGAUGCUUCGGCGUGGGCUCCGGUCUAAGUUCCUUGGAACAGGACGUCAUAGAGGGUGAGAAUCCCGUAUGUGAUCGGUUGCCUUUGCCAUGUGAAGCUCCUUCGACGAGUCGAGUUGUUUGGGAAUGCAGCUCUAAAUGGGAGGUAAAUUUCUUCUAAAGCUAAAUACUGGCCAGAGACCGAUAGCGCACAAGUAGAGUGAUCGAAAGAUGAAAAGCACUUUGGAAAGAGAGUCAAAAAGUACGUGAAAUUGUUGAAAGGGAAACGCUGA